GGUUGGUGAUGGAACCACUACAGUUGUUCUGCUUGCAGGAGAAUUUUUAAAGGAAGCCAAGCCUUUUGUCGAAGAGGGUGUCCACCCUCAAAAUCUUAUUCGUAGUUAUCGAACCGCUUCUAAUAUGGCAAUCGAGAAGGUAAAAGAAUUGGCUGUUAGCAUAGAGGGAAAAAGUUUGGAAGAAAAGAAAAGUCUGCUUGCAAAGUGUGCUGCUACAACUCUGUCAUCAAAGCUCAUUGGAGGGGAAAAGGAAUUCUUUGCAUCCAUGGUUGUGGAUGCUGUUCUUGCAAUCGGAACUGAUGAUAGGCUGAACAUGAUCGGAAUUAAGAAGGUCCCUGGAGGUACUAUGCGGGAUUCUUUCCUUGUAAAUGGUGUUGCCUUUAAGAAGACAUUUUCCUAUGCUGGUUUUGAACAGCAGCCAAAGAAGUUUGUAAACCCCAAGAUACUUUUACUGAACAUAGAGUUGGAGCUAAAAUCAGAAAAAGAAAAUGCAGAGAUAAGGCUCUCAGAUCCAGCGCAAUAUCAGUCAAUUGUUGAUGCAGAGUGGAAUAUCAUUUAUGACAAGUUGGAUAAAUGUGUAAAGAGUGGUGCCAAAGUUGUUUUGUCUAGACUCGCUAUUGGUGAUCUGGCCACACAGUAUUUUGCAGACCGAGAUAUAUUCUGUGCUGGUCGUGUCUCUGAAGAGGAUCUGCAGCGGGUAGCUGCUGCUGCUGGUGGAACAGUGCAGACAACUGUGAACAAUGUUAUUGAUGAGGUUCUUGGCUCUUGUGAGAUUUUUGAGGAGAAGCAAGUUGGAAAUGAGAGAUUCAAUAUAUUUAGUGGAUGUCCCUCUGGCAAGACCGCCACUAUUGUCCUUCGUGGUGGAGCAGAUCAGUUCAUUGAGGAA
RNAcentral lists this unclassified non-coding RNA (886 nucleotides) under Hevea brasiliensis (rubber tree). The record is from RNAcentral. Lineage: Eukaryota; Viridiplantae; Streptophyta; Magnoliopsida; Malpighiales; Euphorbiaceae.